AGUGAACGCUGGCGGUAGGCCUAACACAUGCCGGUCGAACGGCAGCACAGUAAGAGCUUGCUCUUACGGGUGGCGAGUGGCGGACGGGUGAGGAAUACAUCGGAAUCUACUUUUUCGUGGGGGAUAACGUAGGGAAACUUACGCUAAUACCGCAUACGACCUACGGGUGAAAGCAGGGGAUCUUCGGACCUUGCGCGAUUGAAUGAGCCGAUGUCGGAUUAGCUAGUUGGCGGGGUAAAGGCCCACCAAGGCGACGAUCCGUAGCUGGUCUAAGAGGAUGAUCAGCCACACUGGAACUGAGACACGGUCCAGACUCCUACGGGAGGCAGCAGUGGGGAAUAUUGGACAAUGGGCGCAAGCCUGAUCCAGCCAUACCGCGUGGGUGAAGAAGGCCUUCGGGUUGUAAAGCCCUUUUGUUGGGAAAGAAAAGCAGCAGGUUAAUACCCCGCUGUUCUGACGGUACCCAAAGAAUAAGCACCGGCUAACUUCGUG
Molecule: ribosomal RNA, 492 nt
Filed under: uncultured bacterium
Lineage: Bacteria
Description: partial 16S ribosomal RNA
Rfam family: Bacterial small subunit ribosomal RNA
Source: RNAcentral